Molecule: long non-coding RNA, 580 nt
Filed under: Vombatus ursinus (common wombat)
Lineage: Eukaryota; Metazoa; Chordata; Mammalia; Diprotodontia; Vombatidae
Description: lncRNA (ENSVURG00010008335.1)
Source: RNAcentral
GGGGAGGGGAUUAAGGAGCUUGUAGAGGAAGGAGGGUACACAGCUCUCUCAAUUUCCAUUGACUUUUGGCGUCUUUAUAAGUGCCCUGGCAGACAGGUGGCUCCAUCAACACUCCCACCUUCUCCUCAAGAAACCUCAGCAAUAUUUCUUUAGCAAAAUGAAGUUCCCAGUUCUUCUCCUCCUGACUACUCUGGCUGGAGUUCUCAUGGGUGUCGCUGGACAGGCUUCUACUUCACUAGCCCCAGAGACCACAGCCUCAGCAGAGACCACAGCCUCAGCAGAGACCACAGCCUCAGCAGAGACCACAGCCUCAGCAGAGACCACAGCCUCAGCAGAGACCACAGCCUCAGCAGAGACAACAGGCUCAGCAGAGACAACGGCCCCACAGACAACUGCCUCACAGACCACAACUUCACCUUCCCAACAGUCAACAACAUCUACCACUAGACAUCUUACCGACAAAAUUUUCCCCGGAGGCAGGAAGAAAUGAACCUGUAGCAAUCAUUCUUUAAAAGAAUUCCUUAAAGGAAAUCAUUGAAAAAAUAUUUAUAUCAAUCUAAACUAUUAAAUCAGAGCAUCA